UGCAUGGGCCGAUCCUCUCGGUUUUGGGUUGUUCUCCUCCCCCUGAUCAUCCCCAUAUCCAAUCUGAUCAGAUCAGACGCACCAGAUUAAUCUGAACUUCAAAGCUUGAUCUAGGACGAUCUAGGCCGAACCGGACUUAGCUCCAGGUACUUGACGGUUUGAGUUGACGAGCGUUUGGAUAUCGUUAUAAUUGACUUGUUAGAAGACGCAGCGGGAUUAGAGGUGAGUAAACCUCACUUGGUUCAUAUUACGAACCGAAUAAAUUUAAUUAUUCUAUUUUUUGUGGAAAUUGUGUGAAAAUAUUUAUGGAAUAAAUAUUUGUUUUAAAUCAUAUGGACUUGAUCAACUACGGUCC
Molecule: long non-coding RNA, 355 nt
Filed under: Rosa chinensis
Lineage: Eukaryota; Viridiplantae; Streptophyta; Magnoliopsida; Rosales; Rosaceae
Description: sRNA RchiOBHm_Chr2g0143851
Source: RNAcentral